CUUUACAAUCGGUUCAUGACGACGACGACACGAAUCAUUUCAGUUCAUUUAACUUUGCCAAAAGGCAGGUCACUUUUAAUUGUUCAGGUGCGUCUGUUAAACUGGUAUUCAUUAUCAUACUUUGUUUUUAAAUUGAGAACCAAGACACUUGUUUCCCCAAUAUUCGUAAUCGAAAACGUGUUCCACUGCAGCGUAUAUUUAUAAGAUGGCUAGCAUUUGGUAUAUUUUGACGACUCUCGUCAUACUUACGAGCGAGACGGCGUUGGGUUACGAUAAUCAUCGAUGUUCGGAUUUCGGAUCAUGGCAGCAGGGUUGUGCAGGACCAGAUACCUCGGCCUGCGCUGUACCAACCGAGUCCGGAGCAUAUUGCAUUUCUCGAUGCUUCAAUGGGGCCUGCAGUUGGUCCCAUGAUGCUGCACGUGACUUUAAAAAAUACAUCUGCAAUACCUAUGGUUAUGCAGCCGAUUUUGUUGCGGCAGAAAAUGGUGAAACCGAUUUGGCUAUACACAGAUAUAAGAGCUCAACUUGUGCCAGUUAUGAUAAUACAUUCGAUUUUGUACCAUACGCUCAAAGAUACCCGGGAACGCAACAACCCCCCAAUGACCGGAUUCCUAAAUAGAUUUUGAUCGACACUUUCGUUGAGUAAAUAUUUUGAAGAUGACAAUAAAAUCAACUCUUUCCAUUGUAA
Molecule: long non-coding RNA, 688 nt
Organism: Bradysia coprophila
Lineage: Eukaryota; Metazoa; Arthropoda; Insecta; Diptera; Sciaridae
Source: RefSeq, a predicted model, not a curated record